UUGCUUUAGCAGCACAUAUACUAAAAUGGAAUGAGACAGAGAAAAUUAGCAUGGCCCCUUUGAAAGGAUGACAUGUAUGAAGCAUUCCAUAUUUUC
Small nuclear RNA from Monodelphis domestica (gray short-tailed opossum), 96 nucleotides. Lineage: Eukaryota; Metazoa; Chordata; Mammalia; Didelphimorphia; Didelphidae. The record is from Ensembl.